This 253-nucleotide ribosomal RNA is filed under the name uncultured bacterium. RNAcentral describes it as "partial 16S ribosomal RNA". It matches the Rfam family "Bacterial small subunit ribosomal RNA", at positions 524 to 776 of the family's 1533-position model. The record is from RNAcentral.
GACGUAGGGCGCGAGCGUUGUCCGGAUUUAUUGGGCGUAAAGAGCUCGUAGGCGGCUUGUCGCGUCGACUGUGAAAUCCCGCGGCUCAACCGCGGGUCUGCAGUCGAUACGGGCAGGCUAGAGUUCGGUAGGGGAGACUGGAAUUCCUGGUGUAGCGGUGAAAUGCGCAGAUAUCAGGAGGAACACCGAUGGCGAAGGCAGAUCUCUGGGCCGUAACUGACGCUGAGGAGCGAAAGCAUGGGGAGCGAACAGG